RNAcentral lists this ribosomal RNA (330 nucleotides) under uncultured bacterium. RNAcentral's name for it is "bacterial SSU rRNA". It matches the Rfam family "Bacterial small subunit ribosomal RNA", at positions 568 to 898 of the family's 1533-position model. The record is from RNAcentral.
CGCGUAGGCGGACAGUUUAGUCAGAGGUGAAAGCCCAGGGCUCAACCUUGGAAUUGCCUUUGAUACUGGCUGUCUUGAGUACGGGAGAGGUGAGUGGAACUCCGAGUGUAGAGGUGAAAUUCGUAGAUAUUCGGAAGAACACCAGUGGCGAAGGCGACUCACUGGCCCGUUACUGACGCUGAGGCGCGAAAGCGUGGGGAGCAAACAGGAUUAGAUACCCUGGUAGUCCACGCUGUAAACGAUGAGUGCUAGUUGUCGGCAUGCAUGCAUGUCGGUGACGCAGCUAACGCAUUAAGCACUCCGCCUGGGGAGUACGGUCGCAAGAUUAAA